AGAGUUUGAUCCUGGCUCAGGAUGAACGCUGGCGGCGUGCUUAACACAUGCAAGUCGAACGAAGCACCUUGAUUUGAUUCUUCGGAUGAAGAUCUUGGUGACUGAGUGGCGGACGGGUGAGUAACGCGUGGGUAACCUGCCUCAUACAGGGGGAUAACAGUUAGAAAUGACUGCUAAUACCGCAUAAGACCACAGCACCGCAUGGUGCAGGGGUAAAAACUCCGGUGGUAUGAGAUGGACCCGCGUCUGAUUAGGUAGUUGGUGGGGUAACGGCCUACCAAGCCGACGAUCAGUAGCCGACCUGAGAGGGUGACCGGCCACAUUGGGACUGAGACACGGCCCAAACUCCUACGGGAGGCAGCAGUGGGGAAUAUUGCACAAUGGGGGAAACCCUGAUGCAGCGACGCCGCGUGAGCGAUGAAGUAUUUCGGUAUGUAAAGCUCUAUCAGCAGGGAAGAAAAUGACGGUACCUGACUAAGAAGCACCGGCUAAAUACGUGCCAGCAGCCGCGGUAAUACGUAUGGUGCAAGCGUUAUCCGGAUUUACUGGGUGUAAAGGGAGCGUAGACGGAGUGGCAAGUCUGAUGUGAAAACCCGGGGCUCAACCCCGGGACUGCAUUGGAAACUGUCAAUCUGGAGUACCGGAGAGGUAAGCGGAAUUCCUAGUGUAGCGGUGAAAUGCGUAGAUAUUAGGAGGAACACCAGUGGCGAAGGCGGCUUACUGGACGGUAACUGACGUUGAGGCUCGAAAGCGUGGGGAGCGAACAGGAUUAGAUACCCUGGUAGUCCACGCCGUAAACGAUGAAUGCUAGGUGUAGGAGGUAUCGACCCCUUCUGUGCCGGAGUUAACGCAAUAAGCAUUCCGCCUGGGGAGUACGGCCGCAAGGCUGAAACUCAAAGGAAUUGACGGGGGCCCGCACAAGCGGUGGAGUAUGUGGUUUAAUUCGACGCAACGCGAAGAACCUUACCAGGGCUUGACAUUGAGUGAAAGGACAAGAGAUUGUCCCCUCUCUUCGGAGACACGAAAACGGGUGGUGCAUGGCUGUCGUCAGCUCGUGUCGUGAGAUGUUGGGUUAAGUCCCGCAACGAGCGCAACCCCUAUCCUUUGUUGCCAGCACGCAAUGGUGGGAACUCAAAGGAGACUGCCGCGGACAACGCGGAGGAAGGCGGGGAUGACGUCAAGUCAUCAUGCCCCUUAUGUCCUGGGCUACACACGUACUACAAUGGGAUGGACAGAGAGCAGCGAAGCCGCGAGGCCAAGCGAACCCCAUAAACCAUCUCCCAGUUCGGAUUGCAGGCUGCAACCCGCCUGCAUGAAGUUGGAAUCGCUAGUAAUCGCAGGUCAGCAUACUGCGGUGAAUACGUUCCCGGGCCUUGUACACACCGCCCGUCACACCACGGAAGUCAUUCACACCCGAAGCCGGCAGGCUAACCUUUAUGGAGGCAGCCGUCUAAGGUGGGGGCGAUGACUGGGGUGAAGUCGUAACAAGGUA
This 1492-nucleotide ribosomal RNA is filed under the name metagenome. RNAcentral's name for it is "bacterial SSU rRNA". It matches the Rfam family "Bacterial small subunit ribosomal RNA". The record is from RNAcentral.